AGCUCAGUGGUGUAGUGGUUAAUGCAUUGGACUUUGGAUCUAUAGGUUGGUGGUUCGAGUCCA
RNAcentral lists this transfer RNA (63 nucleotides) under Diaphorina citri (Asian citrus psyllid). It matches the Rfam family "tRNA", at positions 1 to 61 of the family's 71-position model. Rfam says of the family: Transfer RNA (tRNA) molecules are approximately 80 nucleotides in length. Their secondary structure includes four short double-helical elements and three loops (D, anti-codon, and T loops). The record is from Rfam by way of RNAcentral. Lineage: Eukaryota; Metazoa; Arthropoda; Insecta; Hemiptera; Psyllidae.